UACGUAGGGUGCAAGCGUUGUCCGGAAUUAUUGGGCGUAAAGAGCUCGUAGGCGGUUUGUCGCGUCUGCUGUGAAAAUCCAGGGCUUAACCCUGGACCUGCAGUGGGUACGGGCAGACUAGAGUGCGGUAGGGGAGAUCGGAAUUCCUGGUGUAGCGGUGAAAUGCGCAGAUAUCAGGAGGAACACCGGUGGCGAAGGCGGCCCCCUGGGCCGGCCCUGACACUGAGACGCGAAGGCGUGGGGAGCGAACGGG
Molecule: ribosomal RNA, 253 nt
Filed under: uncultured bacterium
Lineage: Bacteria
Description: partial 16S ribosomal RNA
Rfam family: Bacterial small subunit ribosomal RNA
Source: RNAcentral